CCCGACCCGCCCGCCCCGGCUGCACCUGUCUCGGCGCGCCGGGAGCGCGGUGUCCGCCCCGCUGAUGGGGCUGCGGGCGGCACCUUCCCCCGGGGAGGAGGAGAAGGAGGAGGAGAAGGAGGCGAGCCGGUGGCGGAGGUUUUCUGUGACUGUUCCAUGUCCUCCUCCUGCUGCUGCUGCUGCAGCCAACGUGGAUCCGAAUGCCGUGGCUACAAAGGCUUGUCACUGUCUCAUGCUGGGUCCCUCACAUCCAAGAGCUACUUGGCAGUUUCCAAGGCAACCACCUGUGGAAUAAUUAAAAAGGAUGGAGUGUUAGCGUGCCAGAUAUAAGGAAUUCUUGCCUGGAGAGAGCGUUUCACUUUCUUCCGUCUUGAAGAAUCAAAACGUGCUUCUGGCCAGCGAAGUUAAGAAAAAGAAAUGGUGGCUGAGUUGCACAAGUGAACCAGGACAACGCAAAAUUAAGUCAAAGAGGAAUGCUCCUUUUCCUAUUUUUUCACCCAGUGCCAUCUGCCGCGGUGUCUGCGAUGUAUUUCAGUCCUGACGAAAUCCCCCCGCCUCAGCGGUACCUCCGCACGCUGUCGUAAGGAUGAUGUGACAAGCAGAGCUGGCAAGUUGUUCCCAC
Molecule: long non-coding RNA, 622 nt
Organism: Passer domesticus (house sparrow)
Lineage: Eukaryota; Metazoa; Chordata; Aves; Passeriformes; Passeridae
Exons: 4
Source: RefSeq, a predicted model, not a curated record